CCACACUUAAACAAAUUAAGGUGUCUCAACCCAUGGAAGUCGUAGGCAUGGAUCUUAUUGGAAAAGCUAAGGUAGUGUUGCAAGCAGGCAGUGACAAAUACAGUUCGGCGACAUGACAUGCUCAUCUUGUCCAGGACCUCAUCCAGUAUAAUGAAGGGCAAUCAGUUUCUAGUUUAUUAGAAUGCAUAUGAGAUUUUAAGAUGCAUGAUGAACCCUUGCAUGUUUUAUGGUGUCUUAAAAGUUUUAGGUGAACAUCGUGAAAUAUAUUAUAUUUUACCUGUAAAAAUGUAACUCAUUUAUUUACUUUUGCUAAGGUUUCACAUCAGGAAGUAUGGUCCCUCUUCUUACUGUUUCUUAUUAUUGUGUGUACAUAAACACAUUACUUUCUCACACUUAUGUUGGCUAAUAGUUCACUCUAUGAUGGCAUGUUCCCCUGCAAUGACCUCUGUAUCACAUUUACUGCUUUCUCUUACUUAUUUUUGUUAUGUGGUUGCCACUAGCAUUAGGGCCCCCAGUUACUGUUAUUAGGUUAUAAGAAAUAGCAGCUGCACUUAAUUAGCCUAACUGUUACCUUUUUCUGACAAAUUAAAACCUAAAGGGUGGGAAUGUACAGUGAAAGCCAUAAAUCCUCGCACAAACUUCAAAAUUAUGGCGGAAAAAGUCGGACCAGAAAACCCUGUCACCCGCCCUUUAGGGUUUAACCUCCCCUGCUUCAUGCCCUGGCCAGUAAUCCUCACAUCCCCUGCACUUAGGAGUUUGGUUCAGUAGGUUUUGUAUGCCUUAUUUAUAUUACUAUAAAAUCUUACCAUCCUCACACCAGAUAAGAUAAUGGUUUUUUGCAUGUGGAAUUUUGUAUCUUAAGAGAUCUUACAAAUGACAGAGUGUUGCUCUGCGAUGGAUUUCUCAAUUGACUUCAUUGAUUUAGAAAUGAUGAGUUAAGGGAUGAUGAUAGAAGAUACUUUGAUGCAGUAAAUACUGUUACAUUUACAAUUGCCACAAUUUAAUUUUCCACAAUAUUUUGAAACAAAACAACUUAGCAUUCAGUGUUCCAUUGUAAUGACACCUUUAUUAUCUGUUUUCUGCCACCACAUAGUAAGUCAUUACAGUGCUGCUCCUCAUGUUUUUCAGCUAAAUGAUAUCCAUCGUGGGGAGGAAAUAUGCCACUACAUGUAUACUGAUAUAUUUUCACUGUAUUACAGGACCACUAGCGAUGACCAAGAGUGGGAGUCAGUACGUAUUGACAAUUGUGGAUUACUUCACCAAAUAUGUACUGUUGUUCCCUCUUCCAAGAAAGGAUGGGACAGGUGUCAACAAUUGCAUCAAGCAGUACAUAAGCAUAUCAACAAUGACUUCUGCCAGCAAAUGGGAAUAAAAAGGUGUGUCUCCAGUGCUUAUCAUCCCCAGACCAAUGGUUUGGUGGAAAGAGUAAACGGUAUGGUGAAACGCCGAGUAAGCAAGCUGUUGGUUGACCGUGGCAAAAACUGGGACGAGAGUCUGCAUGACAUCAUUUUCUCAAUAAACGCUCAGCCACAGUCAGCUACGAAGUACACACCAUUUUUCCUAAUGUUUGGUCGGGAAGCCCACACACUUUUGGAGAUCAAAGGUGUGGACUCUGACACUGACAUCAUAGAAGAUGGCAAGCUUGAGGAAUUUGUAGAAGACCAUGCAACCACCUACGAAAAGGCAUAUGAAAAGGCUUAGAUCAACCAAACAAAAGCACAUGCCAAGGCAAAAAAGGCAUACGAAAAGAAAAAAUCCAAGGGGGUCAAAAGCUUUGCACUGCAUGUGGGCCAGCUUGUGCUGAAACGCCAGGCAGCCAACAUUGCACGCAAAGGUGGACAGUGUGAUCCACUGUGGACUGGCCCAUUUAGUAGUGUUGAGGGCAGAGCCUUGAGCCUCCAUCAACUGUCUUUACAGAGAGGUAACAACAGGCUGCAGCGUUGUGGAAUUCAGCAGUGGCAUGAUUAGGGAGACACCACAACUCUGGCUGGCAAUGGAGCACUCGCCCAGCUGUGGGGUCCAGCCAUUAAUUGAGAUCACCAGAACCUUUCUCAACUGUUUCCAUUGUCUCCACAAAAUAAUAUUAAUUAUCUUUCUUAACCCUUUCAUUGCUAAGCGCUCACAAUGAGACUCCCCUCAGGCGCGUUCACAGCGAGCUUUUAGCACCACCAGCAAGUGACGCUAGUGCUCGCUCUUUUAACCUUUGUAUAAAAAAACUAUUUAUCACAGCUAAAAACAAAAACACCAUUGGAAAGAGGAGGCCAAGAUUUAUAAUAUUCGGUAAUGUAAGCCUCUCCUGCGAAAAUACAGGCACGUUCAGGGGGUGUUUCCUGUGAAGAUGUACAUUUAUGUGUGCGUGACGGUCAGCCGCAAGGCAACUACUGUAGAUCUCUUGAUGAUGGGUGCUGGCAAGGGAGUAUUGCCAACUGCAAACUUUACAACUAUUUGGUCAAAAUAUGAGUCAAGUGAUAGGUGAAGCUGUGCAAAAAUGUCACUAUAUUGGGCAAGAAUAUCCACCACUUGCUCAUCCGUAGAUUUUCUGUGCUUGGCUGACAUGAUUUUCCACCAAAUUUAGUGAAGAACCCACUCUAUUGGCAAUCGGACCUGUGUUAUGAGAAUUAGUUAUGGAACACUCACAUGUGGGAGAUUUGAGUGCAGCUGGAGCUCACAGCGAGUGUUUAGCGCCACCAGCAAAUACGCCUAAUGCCCA
Long non-coding RNA from Eriocheir sinensis (Chinese mitten crab), 2710 nucleotides. RefSeq lists it as uncharacterized. The transcript is spliced from 7 exons. Lineage: Eukaryota; Metazoa; Arthropoda; Malacostraca; Decapoda; Varunidae. The record is from RefSeq and is a predicted model, not a curated record.